This 178-nucleotide unclassified non-coding RNA is filed under the name rhizosphere metagenome. Its description in RNAcentral is "partial ribosomal RNA internal transcribed spacer region". The record is from RNAcentral.
AAUGAAGCCGGGAAACCGGUCCUUCGAACCCUUGAUUAUAAUAAUUUGUUGCUUUAGUGGGCCGCGCAAGCACCGGCUUCGGCUGGAUCGUGCCCGCCAGAGGACCACAACUCCGUAUCAAAUGUCGUCUGAGUACUAUAAAAUAGUUAAAACUUUCAACAACGGAUCUCUUGGUUCU